Labrus bergylta (ballan wrasse) is the source of this 335-nucleotide non-coding RNA. Lineage: Eukaryota; Metazoa; Chordata; Actinopteri; Labriformes; Labridae. The record is from RefSeq and is a predicted model, not a curated record.
UGAAUAAGAGCUUGAACCAUAAUCCCUUAUUGUCCUUUGUAUUUUUCAGUGAUUUUGCUAGUCUUCAUCGCCACCAUUGUCGUCUUCCUGGUGCUAGUAUGUGCUCUACUCUUUGUUAUCAGGGCUCAGAGGACUCAACACAACCUGCUUAAGAGUCAGGGGUCAGGUAACGCUAGCACAGUUGCUAUGAGCCAACAUCUACCAAGUGGAAAAGGAGAUGAGGAACCCAACAAAAAAUGAGGGCAUUUAUGCUAACACCACUGAGCUGAAGAAACCAGGUGUCACCCAACCUGCAACUACCUCUGAGCCAACCAGCACCAACUUACCAAGCUCAA